GACGAACGCUGGCGGCGUGCUUAACACAUGCAAGUCGAACGGAAAGGCCCUGCUUUUGUGGGGUGCUCGAGUGGCGAACGGGUGAGUAACACGUGAGUAACCUGAUCUUGACUUUGGGAUAACUUCAGGAAACUGGGGCUACUAUCGGAUAGGAGCUCCUGUUGCAUGGUGAGGAUUGGAAAGUUGCGGCGGGCGGGGAUGGACGGGCGGCUUAUGAGCUUGCUGGUUGGGUAGUGGCAUGCCAAGGGUUUGACGGGUAGCCGGCCUGAGAGGGUGACCGGCGACAAUGGGACUGAGGUACGGCCCAGACUGCUACGGGAGGCAGCGGUGGGGAAUAUGGCACAAUGGGCGGAAGUCUGAUGCAGCAGCGCCGCGUUCGGGAUGACGGCCUUCGGGGUGUAAACCGCUGUCGCCUGUGACGAAGCGGGAGUGACGGUAAUGGGUAAAGAAGCACCGGCUAACUACGUG
This 468-nucleotide ribosomal RNA is filed under the name uncultured bacterium. Its description in RNAcentral is "partial 16S ribosomal RNA". It matches the Rfam family "Bacterial small subunit ribosomal RNA", at positions 28 to 507 of the family's 1533-position model. The record is from RNAcentral.